UACAGAGGGGGCAAGCGUUGUUCGGAAUUACUGGGCGUAAAGGGCGCGUAGGCGGCCUGCUAAGUCGAACGUGAAAUCCCCGGGCUCAACCCGGGAACUGCGUCCGAUACUGGCAGGCUUGAAUCCGGGAGAGGGAUGCGGAAUUCCAGGUGUAGCGGUGAAAUGCGUAGAUAUCUGGAGGAACACCGGUGGCGAAGGCGGUCUGCUGGGCAGUUUCUGACACUGAGGCGCGACAGCGUGGGGAGCAAACAGGG
This 254-nucleotide ribosomal RNA is filed under the name uncultured bacterium. Its description in RNAcentral is "partial 16S ribosomal RNA". It matches the Rfam family "Bacterial small subunit ribosomal RNA", at positions 524 to 777 of the family's 1533-position model. The record is from RNAcentral.